This is a long non-coding RNA of Acinonyx jubatus (cheetah), 4475 nucleotides long. RefSeq lists it as uncharacterized. Lineage: Eukaryota; Metazoa; Chordata; Mammalia; Carnivora; Felidae. The record is from RefSeq and is a predicted model, not a curated record. The transcript has 3 exons.
AGGGAACUUGUACUUGAUGGUGUUAGCCAUGGUCAUAGGUGCAUUUUACAAGUGUGGCAGAUAAGAGGAUAGGAAUCCUGGGGAAAGAUUCACUUACAUUCAGAAGACUUGAGUUCUAAUCUCAGCAUCACAGCUCGCCACAGUUUAGGCCAGUCACGUGACUCCAGAAACAGAAGUUUCUGUUAUUUAUAAACUAGAAAUAAUGACACUUGGCCUGACCCCUAUGGAGCUGUGGUGAGGAUCAAACAAGUUGAGACAAGAUUUUCUGAAAGUACUGUGCAAACUUUCAGCCCGUAAAUAUUAAGGGACUGUUAUCACGUACUGCUCAGGAAAUAACAGCACCUGGGAAAACCCACAGAGCGUGGUUUUGUAAGAAGUUGCUCAGCCCUCAAGGGAGAAAAUGCCAGGCUCAACAUUGGCCAAGAGGAACAGAUCUGGGAAAUUACAACAUGAGAACAGUCAUCUUACCCAGAGUCCAGUUCGGGGAGUCAUUGUGCUUUCCCAGAAAGAUCCUGAUUCUCUCGGUUUAAACCUGAGCUUUGUGACUUUCCAGUUGAGUUGGGAGGUGGAGAAAGGACUCUGUUCAUGUAGUCGUUCAUGGACCUAGGAUGAAGACAACUCUAUCUUCUUCAUUACAUGCCUUACAUGGACGCUCCAGUUACCAGCAUUGCAAGCAGCGGAAGGAGAAAGGAUCUCAUAACAUGUUAUACAUCAGACCCAGAAAGAAAACAGCAAUCAUUUCUGCAUACUUGAUAUUGGCUAAAACCUAGUCAUGUGGCCCCAGAUAAAUGAAGAGAAGCUUGAUAAAUGUGGUCUAGUGAAAGAGGAGAAGGUAUUUUGAUAGGUAGUUACCAGUCUCCACCACAGUUAUUGACAUUUAAAACCUACAGUUUACACACACACACACACACACACACACACACACACACCAAUGUCUAAGUUCUACCAAAUGGAAAUAUCUGGAAAUUUUGGUUGAACGCCACAUGGCAACAAUUUCCUAGAGUCAGGUUGUAGUUUCCCUUUGCAAAGUGCAUGCUCACUCUGGUUGCUGUCAUUCUCACCACUUGUGUUUUGCCCCAAAUCCAAUCCUACUUUACUUCAACUAGACAUGAUCAACACAUGCUUGAAGAGAUUAUAGUUGGGUGUUCUCUUAGCUAAUGUCAUUAGGACCAAUAUUUGUUUAGUUCAUCAAAAAAAAAAUAAAAAUAGGCAAAUCAGGGAAUAAUAGUUAAAACAAAAAAGUUUUUUUUGGAUGUUCUAUACUAUCCUAAAGCGUAUUAAUUUACUUUUAUUUGUUACAUUUAUAAUCUUGGGUCAAAGUCUUUUCUUUAAAUAUGUCUGCCAAUUGGAUCUUAGAGUUAUCUUUUUUUGUACAAAUCUCACACAUAAUAACAUCCUUACAACAUUCUUCUGUCCUUAAGGGAGAAUUUAAAGACAUUUUGAUCAUGAUUUUCUGAGGGAAAAAUCCUUCAGGUUUUGAUGAUUUUCUCCCUGUCAUUGCCAAUUGUCUCAUUCAUACCUAACUCUUAGUGACUUGCCUUUACUGAAUUGCUCCAAAAUAUUCAAAUUAGUUAUCAUAGAAACAAUAACUUAUUUUUAUUUUACACUCAUAUUUCAUUGGGUAAAAUAUUUAAAAAAAUCAUGUAAUUAUAAUAACAAGUACAUCUGUCAUAAAUAAGUUUGAAGACGAACACAACUGACUCUUGGUAAAUAUAUUAUUUAAAAUACAGGUUAAGUUGCUAUAAUAAAUAAAUCCAACAGAGUGGCUUUAAUAUGGCAGAAAUAAAUUUUCAGAGAACAGUUCAAAAUCAGAUGACUCUAAACAAUAACCCCUGAGGUGUUUUUUUCUUUUUCUUUUUUUUAACUUUUUAAAAAAAUGUUUAUUUAUUUUUGAGAGAGAGACAGAGUGUGAGUGGGGAAGGGGCAGAGAGAAACACACACACAGAAUCUGAAGCAGGCUCCAGGCUCUGAGCUGUCAGCAUGGAGCCUGAUGCAGGGCUCAAACUCACCAGCUGUGAGAUUAUGACCUGAGCCGUAGCCGGACCCUUAACCGGCUGAGCCACCCAAGCGCCCCUGGGUGUUUUCUUUUCUUGCUUAGUUAAAGGUGAACUAUGCUACGCCUACAUUCCAGUGCACACAAGGGGAGUGGAGGAAGGGGCAAGGAGAGAGUCCAAUGCAAACAGUAUUAUGUUUAAGAAGACACCCUGAAGUUAAACUUGCCAUUGUUACUCACAUUCUACUGGCCCAAAACUAGUCACAUGGCCUUACAUAGCUGCAAGAUGGCUGGAAAAUGUAGUCCAGAGCUGCCCAUGUAUCUAGAUCAAGGGGGAACAUCUGCUACAUAAAGGAAGAAGGAGAUAAUGAAUUCUUGACACUAGCAGCCUCUGAUCCCAUAAACAAAUAAAGUAAUUAGCAGAAAUAGAAGUCAGUCUUGUGUAAUGUAUCAGCUUUUGCUGCAUAGCACAUCUUCCCAAACUUCGUUAACUUGAAACAACAAACAUCUAUUGUCCACCUGAUUCUGGGUUAGUUGAGUACUUCGGACCUGGCUAGCUUAACUGGGGCUCCUAAGAUGGUCUCACUAGGGUAACUUGUUUCGAAUAAAACAUGGUUUCUCUCCUCUAACAGACCAGCCCAGGCUUCUUUUCAUAGAUAUCUCAGAAUUCCAUAAAGCUGCAAGAAUGCAAACUCCAAAAGCAUAAGCAAUUUUCAAGCCUCUGCUUGCACCCAUUUGCUAAAGUUCCACUGACCAAGGCGGUCACAUGGAUAUCCUCCAGAUGCAAGGAGUGGAAAGAGAGACCGGCUCACCAUGGAAGAGGGCAGCUGGAUCACUUUGCAAUGAAGAGUACAUGUAGGGAAAUAUUGUGAUGGUGUCUGCAAUGGACCAUAACAAAGAAGCAAUUUAUUAACUUGGAAAAUUCAAUUUUUUUUUAUAGAGAACAUAGGGAGUGUUGGUUAUUCAGGCUAGUCUGUUAAAUGAGUAUCAGCCAGUAGCCCUUCUCAAUUUGCUAUGAUAUUCAGUCCUCAAAGGAGAAACAAUUUCUUACCUUUACUCCUACUUAGGAAUAGGAAGAAGUUUUCCUACUGGAGGACAAACUUCAAUGAAAAAGUUGAUUACCUACAUACAUUGAGGUUAAGAACUAUUUUCAUUAGAAGAUGUAAAAAACAUGCCAAGCACAUAAAUAAACAUGUCAAGCACAGAUCGUCCAUGCAGCACCUUUAACUAAACUCGGUUAUACAAAAUCAAUAAAAUAAAACCAGUAAAAUGAAUAACUUAAUAGAAAUACAGGGGUGAGGGGAGGAGGACUACCUGAGUAUCAUUUCACAGAAGAAGAAACUCAGAGGCCAAUAGACAUGAAUAAAAGGUCAGUUUUGUAAGACACGGAGGAAGGGCAAGCUGAACUCUCAGAUACCCUUUCAACUCUACAAAUUGGCAAAUAUCAAAAAGCCAGGCAAUAAUGAACGUUGUAAAGGAUAUAAAGCAAUAACAACUCAUGUAUUUUGGAAAGGAAAUAGUAUAAAUAGUUUGGAAAGCGAUUUGGCACUAUUUUGUAGAGUUAAAAAUGUGCAUAUCCUAUGACCCAGAAAAUCCCUCGUAGAUAAACACAGUAAUCUUUGCUCAUGUACACCAGGAAACACGUACAAUAAUGUUCACAGCAGCCAUGUAUAUAAAAGUGAAUGUCUGGAAACAAACUUAAAGUUUAUUGACAUGAGAAUAUGUAAAACUUUGUUUUGUCUUCUUUAUACCAUGUCAAUUAUACAGCUGUGAAAAUCAGUAAACAAUAGCUACAAACACCAAUGUGAGUGAAAAAUUUAUUUUCAGCCGGAUAAUACGGUGGGAGUACCUUUAUAAAAAUUUUUCAAAUAUGCAACUCAUACAAAAGCAAUAUACGGCUUAGGGUAUGUGUAUGUCAUAAGAAAUAUUGAACAAAAAACGGGAUGUAAAAAUUCCAGGGUAGUGGUGUGGGGGACCGGAUGAGAUACAUGGUAAGGGUAAUGCAGUAUUUCAUUAUAUUAUUCUUGAUAACUUACAUAUACAUUAAAUGUAUUCUUUGUAUAUGUGUAUAUCUUUUGCUUUAAAAAGGAGAAUCAUGGCAUAUGGGCUGGUAUCACAGUUUUUGUUUAUUUGUUUGUUUAUUUAUUUUUAAGUUUAUUCAUUUUGAGAGAGACAGAGACAGCAUGAAUGGGGGGUGCAGAACGAUAGGGAGAGAAAGAGAGAGAGAGAGAGAGAGAGAGAGAGAGAACCCCAAGCAGACUUUUCACUGUCAGCACAGAGUUGGACGUGGGGCUCGAACCCACGAAACUGUGAGAUCAUGACCUGAGCCAAAACUGAGAGUCAGAUGCUGAUCUGACUGGGCCACCCAGGUACCCCUCACUACAAUUUUUAAUUAAGAUUUCUUAAAAUAUUCCACUAAGCACCCAUUACUCCUGAGGGUCUGGGAAUAGAACCUUUGCUGUAAGUAAGCACACAAUAUCUU